This is an RNA transcript of Eriocheir sinensis (Chinese mitten crab), 1807 nucleotides long. It is a transcript of the gene named mitochondrial ribonuclease P protein 1 homolog, with no coding region annotated. NCBI's taxonomy places the organism in Eukaryota, Metazoa, Arthropoda, Malacostraca, Decapoda, Varunidae. The transcript has 9 exons. The record is from RefSeq and is a predicted model, not a curated record.
UCCCAAGCCACUUGUGACAUCAAGAUCAAGUGUAAACAAACCCCCUAUCCGGCGUGCAUGGCUGCCUAACCAGCCCCAGAAAUCAUCCCAGAAGAAGAAGGUGUGCUUGGCGAGGCCGUGCAGGCGUGUGCCGGAAGUCGCAGAGCACCUUUGACGAGGAGUGGAGAGCAGGCGCUGCCACGGGUCGGCUGACGACGCCACCGACGGCAAGAUGUUCCUCCACUCAAGCACUUCAGCCGUGUCCCGCCUUCUGUCUGCUGCUCCUGGCCGGGCUGUGCUGAGCUGUUCUCUGCACACAAGAUGGCGCCCCAAAGGUUGCUCAGGUACACAAUGCCAAGGUGUGGGCAGGGGAACCACCCUUCAACAAGCCAGACAGCAUUUGUGGUCAAGAUUGCAGGGCAGUCCUAGCAUGCAUCAAGCAUUUCUGUGGAGAAGUGGCAGUGAUGCAGCUUCAUACAGCACUGCCAACACCAGCAGUGAAUUCUCCAAGACCACAAGCAAACCUGUGUUUACAGAGGCCUCAAAUGCAACAGAAGGGGAUGAAGUAGAUCUUGAGGCCUUGGUAGAAUUGGAGGUAGAGUUGUAUCGGCAGGAAGGCUAUCUAGUGCCCUCCAAAUUCAGUCCCAGAGAGUGGCAGGAUCUACUGACUCUACCUUCAGUUAAUGCUCGAAAAAAAUUCCUUCUGUUUCUCUUCAAGAAUGAAAAGAGAAGUGAAAACCAAAGAAAGAUAAAGGAACUGAAUAAGGAGAAGAGGGAGGAGGAACACAGACUACUGAGAGAGAACUCACCACAGGAAGGUGGACACAUUGAUUAUGGUCUGUGGAAGAACAGCAUUUUCUUGAAGGUUUUUGAUGCGUCAAUUAACCAUUUCUACCACUGCCGUGUGGUGCAGGCCAUGCUCCACGGACAGCCCCUGGUGGUGGACCUGGACUAUGAAGAACACAUGUCAAGAAAGGAACGACAAAACUGUGCCUACCAGUUACAGAUGAUGAUGAGUGCCAACAGAAAACAUCAGGACCCCUACAGCCUUGAGCUGCAUAAUGCACCGCAGACCCAGGAUACAAUGGCUCGCCUCCUGCGCUACGUUCCUACUCUCUACAAGCCAGAGUUUCCGGUGGUGGUCAACCCUGACAGUUAUUUGGAGAAAUACCCGCGGGAACGGCUGGUCUACUUGACGCCGCACUGCCGAGAGGAACUUAUAACCUACGACCACAAUGCUGUUUAUAUCAUUGGCGGCAUUGUUGACAAAUCUUCCGGGGAGCCACUGAGUCUUGCCAAGGCCAAGAGAGAGGGAAUUCGUAUGAAGAAGCUUCCAUUGGAUAGAUACCUCUCAUGGAAGCUUGGCAACAAGUGCCUCACUCUCAACCAAACUAUUGAAAUUAUGUUGGACUUCAAAAUGACAGGUGACUGGCCGUACGCUCUUCGCCAUGUUCCUCGCAGAAAGCUUCAGGGGCCACUUCAGAGUCAACAAGCAAGGGAGAAGGCAAUACUUAGAAGGAUCCAGGAGAGGGAGAGGCGUCCCUCCUCUGCUUGAUCUAUUUAGACACCCGUCCCAUGGCUGACAGCAGGCAAAAAGCAGGAUACAGUGGAUAUUUCUGUGGACCCUUGGUUCCACGGGCUGCAUCAAGAAGCUAACACAUUCAUUCUUCCACAGGGACUUCAAGGACUGCUAGAGAUCAUCCUAGAGAAAAACUGUUCCUCUACCAUGUAUAUAAAAAGAAUGAAGCUAAUGAUGAAAACUGUUGUAACAGUAAGAUUUAUGUGAUAUUGUAACUGUUGAUGAUGAUAAAAUCUUGAAUGAUACUUA